This 603-nucleotide ribosomal RNA is filed under the name uncultured phototrophic eukaryote. RNAcentral's name for it is "bacterial SSU rRNA". It matches the Rfam family "Bacterial small subunit ribosomal RNA", at positions 9 to 652 of the family's 1533-position model. The record is from RNAcentral.
GAGUUUGAUCCUGGCUCAGGAUGAACGCUGGCGGUAUGCCUAACACAUGCAAGUCGGACGGACACCUUCGGGUGUCAGUGGCGGACGGGUGAGUAACGCGUAGGAAUCUACCCCUAGGAGGGGGAUAACAGCUGGAAACGGCUGCUAAUACCCCAUACAGGCGCGAGCUGAAAGGAGCAAUCCGCCUAGGGAUGAGCCUGCGUCGGAUUAGCUAGUUGGUGGGGUAAUGGCCUACCAAGGCGACGAUCCGUAGCGGGUCUGAGAGGAUGGCCCGCCACACUGGGACUGAGACACGGCCCAGACUCCUACGGGAGGCAGCAGUGGGGAAUUUUCCGCAAUGGGCGAAAGCCUGACGGAGCAAUACCGCGUGAGGGAGGAAGGCCUUCGGGUUGUAAACCUCUUUUCUGGGGGACGAAGGAGUGACGGUACCCCAGGAAUAAGCCUCGGCUAACUCUGUGCCAGCAGCCGCGGUAAGACAGAGGAGGCGAGCGUUAUCCGGAGUUAUUGGGCGUAAAGGGUACGUAGGCGGCUGGUCAAGUCUGGGGUUAAAGACCACAGCUUAACUGUGGGGGGGCCUUGGAAACUGACCGGCUGGAGUGGGGC